This 328-nucleotide ribosomal RNA is filed under the name uncultured eukaryote. RNAcentral's name for it is "partial 18S ribosomal RNA". It matches the Rfam family "Eukaryotic small subunit ribosomal RNA", at positions 1470 to 1796 of the family's 1831-position model. The record is from RNAcentral.
CCCUUAGAUGUCCUGGGCCGCACGCGCGCUACACUGAUGCAUGCAACGAGUUUAUAACCUUGGCCUGAAAGGUCUGGGUAAUCUUUUGAACGUGCAUCGUGAUAGGGAUAGAUUAUUGCAAUUGUUAAUCUUGAACGAGGAAUUCCUAGUAAACGCGAGUCAUCAGCUCGCAUUGAUUACGUCCCUGCCCUUUGUACACACCGCCCGUCGCACCUACCGAUUGAAUGGUUCGGUGAAGAUCCCGGACUUCGAUAUUUAUUCUUUAUUGAGUUUAUAUUGUGGGAAGUUAUCUAAACCUCAUCAUUUAGAGGAAGGUGAAGUCGUAACA